Long non-coding RNA from Canis lupus familiaris (dog), 1014 nucleotides. RefSeq lists it as uncharacterized. Lineage: Eukaryota; Metazoa; Chordata; Mammalia; Carnivora; Canidae. The transcript has 4 exons. The record is from RefSeq and is a predicted model, not a curated record.
CUAAGGCUGAGAGGUGAUUUGAUCAAGGUCACAUAGCAAGCAUUGGAUGGAGGUCUAGAAUCCAGGAUUUGACUAUUAAAGAGCAGAAUGAAGAAAAGGCGGAGAUGGAAUAAAGACUGCUCUAGAUUGUGAACUACCAGAAGGCAGGGACUGGAUCUGUCUUCCUCAUGCUGUGUCCCCAGCCCAGGAUGUGCAUGUUACAAUUUGUAGGAUGGAUAAAUUAAUGAACAAAAAGAGUUUAGGAUGGAGCCAGCCAUCAAACAGAAGUCUCCAGUGGAAUGAGCCAGUGUUGAGACUUUGAAAAACAAAGAUCAAUCUGAAGUUCAAAGAGGGGAAGAAAAAGGUAUGUUCCUAGUUAAAUGCACCAUGUUGAACUGAAGACUCAGAAAAGUUCUUUUCAUUUUAUUUUAUGUUGGACUGACUUUUAAGAAAAUAAUCUUGGAAGUGUUUAUUUUAUAACUCUAACAGCGUCCAAGAAAUUGUGGACAGCCAAACUCUGAAAGAGCACAGUUGUGAAUAGAACUUAUUUUCAGUAAGUAGAAAGCCCUUUCCUGUCCUGGACUUACAUGACUAUAGUGAAACUGUCCCCCUAAAAGAGGACAAAAGAUACUGUCAACUGGGUAAGGUCUCCUGAGCUAAGAAGUCCUUCCUCUGAUGCCUCUUCUUGAAUUUGACUAUUUGAAAGCUCAUUUCUUUUAUUGAAAUAUGGGAGAGAAAGCAUAUUUCUUGGCUAGUAUUACAGCCUAGAUUAUGAUUUGGUGAUUUGGGGAAAAGGAUGUUACCUUAGACCAGAAUAGACAAUUUGUGUUUUGUGGCAUUGAUGACAUGUAUUAGCAUGGUAUUUGUACUCUCUCUGUGACUUGUUUGAUAUUUAAGAAGUUUUAACCCAACAAACAUUCUGUAGAUCUUUGCUUCUACUAUCUAGAUUUGUCCAAGAUAUAACUUUAGAUAGUAUAACAGUCAAUGUAUGUGUGUGUGUAUGUUGUUGACAUCUAAAAGGCACAGAAAAUAUCU